UACGGAGGAUCCAAGCGUUAUCCGGAAUCAUUGGGUUUAAAGGGUCCGUAGGCGGCCUUAUAAGUCAGCGGUGAAAGUUUUUGGCUUAACCAAAAAAUUGCCAUUGAUACUGUAGGGCUUGAAUGUUUGUGAAGUAACUAGAAUAUGUAGUGUAGCGGUGAAAUGCUUAGAUAUUACAUGGAAUACCAAUUGCGAAGGCAGGUUACUAACAAAUGAUUGACGCUGAUGGACGAAAGCGUGGGUAGCGAACAGG
Molecule: ribosomal RNA, 253 nt
Filed under: uncultured bacterium
Lineage: Bacteria
Description: partial 16S ribosomal RNA
Rfam family: Bacterial small subunit ribosomal RNA
Source: RNAcentral